RNAcentral lists this unclassified non-coding RNA (347 nucleotides) under soil metagenome. RNAcentral describes it as "partial contains 5.8S ribosomal RNA, internal transcribed spacer 2, and large subunit ribosomal RNA". The stretch from base 1 to 120 matches the Rfam family "5.8S ribosomal RNA", at positions 35 to 154 of the family's 154-position model. The record is from RNAcentral.
GAUGAAGAACGUAGCGAAAUGCGAUAAGUAAUGUGAAUUGCAGAAUUCAGUGAAUCAUCGAGUCUUUGAACGCACAUUGCGCCCCCUGGUAUUCCGGGGGGCAUGCCUGUCCGAGCGUCAUUGCUGCCCUCAAGCACGGCUUGUGUGUUGGGCUUCCGUCCCUGGCAACGGGGACGGGCCCAAAAGGCAGUGGCGGCACCAUGUCUGGUCCUCGAGCGUAUGGGGCUUUGUCACCCGCUCCCGUAGGUCCAGCUGGCAGCUAGCCUCGCAACCAAUCUUUUUAACCAGGUUGACCUCGGAUAAGGUAGGGAUACCCGCUGAACUUAAGCAUAUCAAUAAGCGGAGGA